Molecule: ribosomal RNA, 336 nt
Filed under: uncultured bacterium
Lineage: Bacteria
Description: bacterial SSU rRNA
Rfam family: Bacterial small subunit ribosomal RNA
Source: RNAcentral
AAGUGGAGCAAUCCAUGAGUAAAGUGGCGACCGGGUGAGUAACACGUGACUAACCUACCUUCGAGUGGGGAAUAACUCCGGGAAACCGGGGCUAAUACCGCAUAACAUCGCAAGAUCAAAGCAGCAAUGCGCUUGAAGAGGGGGUCGCGGCUGAUUAGCUAGUUGGCGGGGUAACGGCCCACCAAGGCGAAGAUCGGUAUCCGGCCUGAGAGGGCGCACGGACACACUGGAACUGAAACACGGUCCAGACUCCUACGGGAGGCAGCAGUGGGGAAUUUUGCGCAAUGGGGGAAACCCUGACGCAGCAACGCCGCGUGGAGGAUGAAGCCCCUUGGG